GCAAGGUGCACUUGGACUAAU
This 21-nucleotide ribosomal RNA is filed under the name Labidesthes sicculus (brook silverside). RNAcentral's name for it is "partial 12S small subunit ribosomal RNA". Lineage: Eukaryota; Metazoa; Chordata; Actinopteri; Atheriniformes; Atherinopsidae. The record is from RNAcentral.